ACCUGGUGCUGUAGUGUGUGCCUGUGUCCCAGCUAUUCACUGGCUGAUGCAGGAGGAUCUUUUGAGCUCAGGAGUUCUGUGCUAUAGUGAUCAAGAGUCCUCCAUAGAUUCAGCAUCAAUAUACUGACUUCCUGGGAGAGGAGGACCACCAGGUUGCCUAAGGAGGGAUGUAACAGCCCAGGUAAAAAAAAAAAAUAAAAUAAAAUAAAACAGAGCAGGUCAUAACUCCUGUGUUGAUCAGUAGUGGGAUCACUACUAAUGCAAUUUCUUCCAAAGAAACGGGAGAUCCAGUUUCUU
This 297-nucleotide signal recognition particle RNA is filed under the name Macaca fascicularis (crab-eating macaque). Its description in RNAcentral is "Metazoan signal recognition particle RNA (ENSMFAG00000060121.1)". It matches the Rfam family "Metazoan signal recognition particle RNA". Rfam says of the family: The signal recognition particle (SRP) is a universally conserved ribonucleoprotein. It is involved in the co-translational targeting of proteins to membranes. The record is from Rfam by way of RNAcentral. Lineage: Eukaryota; Metazoa; Chordata; Mammalia; Primates; Cercopithecidae.